This 203-nucleotide small RNA is filed under the name Halobacillus sp. BAB-2008. RNAcentral describes it as "Bacillus sRNA ncr1575". It matches the Rfam family "Bacillus sRNA ncr1575". The record is from Rfam by way of RNAcentral. Lineage: Bacteria; Bacillati; Bacillota; Bacilli; Caryophanales; Bacillaceae.
CUAACUUAUGAAGAAGGGAUGAUGGGUGGCCGAUGAAAAACUAAUCUUAUGUUCCAAAGUCUGAAAUCGAAACAUUUCAUGCUUACGAAUCUAGGAUUAGUCUGCCCAUUUUCCAUAGCGACAGGAGCUGUUCCCACGGGAAGGCUUUGUUUGUUGUUGUUUUCGUGCGGCUAAUCCUUCCAGGAAUCUGGGAGGAUUUUUUG